AAUUGAAAGAGUUCGAAACUGACCGAGAACAGCGGUAGCUCCUAGGAGGGUAUCAGCUCCGGCGUACUUGCAAGACUUGCAAUAAACGACGCCUUGAACUUCAACAAGGCUCCUAGGGAAACGAUGGGUGGGUGUGGGUGGGUGAGCAGGAGCAACGUGCGGUGGAGGUGGGUGAGCAGGAGCAACGUGUGGUGGAGGUGGGUGAGCAGGAGCAACGUGUGGUGGAGGUGGGUGGGCAGGAGCAACGUGUGAAGGUGGGUGAGCAGGUGCAUGAGCGGGAGUGUGAGCCGGUGCAUGAGCCGGCGGGUGGGGGUGGUGGUGAUGAUGGUGGUGGCUUGGGGCGUGAGCCGGUGGGGCAGUAGGAGGGUGGCUGUGGUGGUGGUGGUGGUGGUGAUGGUGGGGGCUUGGUGCCGUUGCCGGGGUUACCGAGUGGUAGUGUGAUGGUGGCAUAGCCAUGGAACUCUCAGUGUAAACCUGUUCACCAUACACAGUGAAGCUGCAGCCGGCUAAGACCAAACAAACAUGAACAACAAUCAGUAAAGCUUUACCCAUUUUGUUUUGUUUUUUUUUUUCAGUCUUCUUUUAUCUCUAGUAAAGAAGAUGGCCAGCCAACUAGGGGGAGGGUGAGAGAGUGAGAGAGAUCGAGAGAGGUGGUGAAAACGAUCUCCGAUUGGGGGAAUUUAUAGGGGUUUUAACCCGUGAUUCUCUGCGGUUUUUUGUGAUAAAAUUUUUAUUUUAUAAUAUGGUGGUGGGGCUAUUAUUAUGCAUUAUGCUGUGAGGUGGACACAAACAUAAUGCAAAAGAAGAGAGAUAAUGAGAUAAUGCAAGAUUGAUUCGUUAAUUUGUUUUAGCGUUUGGUUGAGGCCCAAAUAAAAUUUGUUGAAUUUUUUUUUUAAUUUUAAAUCUAAUAUUAAAGUCUAAUGAUAUUCAUAAUACUGAUAUUCAAUGUCAAAUGUGUAGACAACUUCUAACAUCUCAAAUUGACUCCCAUAAUGUGUGUGUAUAUUAUUCAAGGAGACUUAAAAGGUCAUUCCACAUGUGUUGUGUGUAGAAAAAGAGUGACUAAUGAGUAGGGAUGGUAAAUUAAUCCGGACCAGGAUUGGACCCGGAUAAUCCGGUCCGGGUUUAACCCGUACCGGAAGGUAAUACAAUGCGGAUCCGAAAAGGAUAUUUUGAACCCGGAUAUAUUCCGGUCCGGAUCCGGUUUAUCUUAACCCGGAUGUCCGAAACCCGGACCCGAAUAAUUUAAUUAUAAAAGAAAAAAAAAAACCUAAUGCCUUAAGUCUUAACCUACUGCAGCCGCUUCUUUCUUCUCCAAUUUCUCUUUCUUUCUCCUCCAUCUUCUCUUUUCAUUAAAACAAACCCACUGCAGCUGCUUUCUUUCUUCUCCAAUUUCUCUUUCAUUCACUCAAAUGACUUGGAAAAAUCUUUGUAUUGAAAGGAAGACAAAGAGGAAUGCACCCAUUAAGGCUUAUACUCAUUUUUUGUCACUCUUGCUGGUUUUUGACAGCUACUUUCCGCCACUCUUGCUGAUUUUUUGUCACCAGAAAUUGCCGAAUCUCCACAGCAACUUUUUGACGAUGCUCUCCUCGACGCCGACGACAACACCAAUGCCACCAAAAAUCUGAAAACUCAGCAAUCCUCCCUCAACAUUCAUUUAGCUAUGGUUUCAGGAUUUUGGUGAUUUGAGAUUUGGAGAUUUGAGGAAGUAACAUCAAGAGAAAAAAAAAAAUUGUAAUAGAUAUGCGGGUUUAGAACCUGCAAUCCAAAAAUUUGACUUUUUCUGGGUUCAAUCCGAUUCGGACCUACAAUAAAAAUAUCCAGAUUAUAUCCAGAUCCGGUAUAACAAAAUUAUCAUUCGGAUUCAGAAUCGAAAAGACUGGACUCGAACCCGGAUCCAGAUUUUGCCAUCCCUAAUAAUGAGUGGGUUCCAUACGUUAUUUUACUUACUAGGGAAAAAUUAUACCGGUGGAGGAUUUUAAAAGGAUAAUUAGGAAUACAAGGUGAUUAAAUCCCAAGAGAUCGUUGUAAACAAGUGGCUCAGAGAUUCACAUGCAGAGGUGAGACCGUGCGAGUGGGCUCCGGAAUUUUGGCACAUGUAGCGAGGCAAUGUAGAAGUUUCCGAUGUUUCUUUGGUUACUGAACCUCUCGUCUUUAUUUUUUUAAAAUUAAAUUAAAUAGUACGUUGAUUCUUUGGUUUGGGAAAUUAAUGAUAUUUACUAAAACUCUUGGUAAAUGGUAAAUAAGAUGAAUGAUUGGUAUGGGCCCAACCAAAAAGUAAUGGCAAGUGAUAAAAUUUCGAGCUCUUUGUGGAUAAAGAAAGAAUAUUGUACGUUACAAUAAUUUUUGACGUUGAAGUUCCUGUGUUUCACAAGAAAAGUGAAAAUAAAAUAAAGCAACCUUAAUUUCCUCCGUUAUUAAAAAUAUUAUAAUAUUUUAAAAAUAUAUUAAUUAUUUAUUUUAAAUUAAUAAAAUAUAUUUAUUAUCUAUUAAAUUAUUAAUUAACGUUGAAAGAUAAUGACAUUAGAAGGGUAAUUUAAUAUUUUCACACGAUAUAAAAAAUAAUAAAAGAAUUUAAGAAUAUAAAAAUGAUAAUUUAAAAGUACGUAAGUGAUAAUAAGAUAAUUUAAGAGUAUAUAAAUAAUAAUUUUUUUAUUUUAAUUUAAAUUUCAAAAAUAAAAUAUCAAUUCGCUGUAUUAACUUUCAGAUGGUAACUAAUGAUUUAGUUAUUAGUAUAUAUAUUUUGUCAACUUAAAAUGAACGAUUAAUAUUAUUUUUUACAACAAAACAAAUAUAAGGUAUAAAAUGAUAAUUUCCCUAACAUAAAUAAAGAAAUGAAACACUAUUUUCGCUUUUGCCACUUUCGUUUUCGGUUUCGAAUUAUCGUCGGAGUCUAGAAACUAGGUUGUGUAUUUAUUAUAUGUGCUCUGUUUUUAUUUGUUUAUCUUUUCUCUGUUCUGACACCUUAGAAAACUUAAUCAGAAAACGACAUGGCAAGGAGAAAAGAAAAUAUUAUACUAGGGUUAUUGAUAUUAAAUCAGAGCUAGAAUUAGCCUUAGGGUUCCUUCUUUUAAACCCUAAAAAUUGAAAACUCAAGUUUAUUAUUUAUCGUAAUAUAAUUAAAUUCCGACAAAGUUAAAUAAUGGGUUCAUUUGAUGGGUAAGUCGUGUAAAAUUUAUCAAUCGUUUUUCGCGUAAAAUUAAUAGUAGAAAUUUCCAAAUCUAAGCGAAUGUCAAAUUUGGUCCAACGCAUGAAAUAAAUUAAAACUCUGGAGAUGAUAACUUUCUAGAUAAUGUAAUUGAGCUUUUUAUAUAUGGAACUGCAAAUGUAAUUCCUCUGUCCCGCAUUUCGGUCCUUUUAUAGAAGGUUAGAUAUUAUAUUUUGAUGAACUAUUAUUUGAACUAAUUAAAUAAUGAUCGCUCCUUGCACAUAUCCACUGGGAUGCGUUUCAAGAGACAGAAUGAUAUCUGCUGUACCGUACAUCCGCCUUGGCCGUACAGCAGAUUAAUAAAAUAUAUUUAUUAUCUAUUAAAUUAUUAAUUAACGUUGAAAGAUAAUGACAUUAGAAGGGUAAUUUAAUAUUUUCACACGAUAUAAAAAAUAAUAAAAGAAUUUAAGAAUAUAAAAAUGAUAAUUUAAAAGUACGUAAGUGAUAAUAAGAUAAUUUAAGAGUAUAUAAAUAAUAAUUUUUUUAUUUUAAUUUAAAUUUCAAAAAUAAAAUAUCAAUUCGCUGUAUUAACUUUCAGAUGGUAACUAAUGAUUUAGUUAUUAGUAUAUAUAUUUUGUCAACUUAAAAUGAACGAUUAAUAUUAUUUUUUACAACAAAACAAAUAUAAGGUAUAAAAUGAUAAUUUCCCUAACAUAAAUAAAGAAAUGAAACACUAUUUUCGCUUUUGCCACUUUCGUUUUCGGUUUCGAAUUAUCGUCGGAGUCUAGAAACUAGGUUGUGUAUUUAUUAUAUGUGCUCUGUUUUUAUUUGUUUAUCUUUUCUCUGUUCUGACACCUUAGAAAACUUAAUCAGAAAACGACAUGGCAAGGAGAAAAGAAAAUAUUAUACUAGGGUUAUUGAUAUUAAAUCAGAGCUAGAAUUAGCCUUAGGGUUCCUUCUUUUAAACCCUAAAAAUUGAAAACUCAAGUUUAUUAUUUAUCGUAAUAUAAUUAAAUUCCGACAAAGUUAAAUAAUGGGUUCAUUUGAUGGGUAAGUCGUGUAAAAUUUAUCAAUCAUUUUUCGCGUAAAAUUAAUAGUAGAAAUUUCCAAAUCUAAGCGAAUGUCAAAUUUGGUCCAACGCAUGAAAUAAAUUAAAACUCUGGAGAUGAUAACUUUCUAGAUAAUGUAAUUGAUUGUCCAAGUGAUUGAGCUUUUUAUAUAUGGAACUGCAAAUGUAAUUCCUCUGUCCCGCAUUUCGGUCCUUUUAUAGAAGGUUAGAUAUUAUAUUUUGAUGAACUAUUAUUUGAACUAAUUAAAUAAUGAUAUAAUUUUUAUUAUUUUAAUCGAGAUAUAAAUUAAAUAUUCUAAUUAAGCAAAUAUAGUAUUAUUUUUAUGUUUUCAUUGGCUUGAUUCUUGACCAAAUCAUCUUUCAGUACGCAUCCCUCAGUUGAUUACUGACAUGGCAUUAACCCUUCCCUGGUUGAGACGCAAGUAACAGGUACCUACUGGCGAUCGAGGUCGGUUGAAUUAUUUGAUGCAGUACAUCAUAAAAUUUUUUUACUAAAUUUGGUAUAGAUUAUAUCACAUUAACAUAAUUUUUUUAAUAAAAAUUUACUAAUGGUAUAUAAUUAAUAAUUCUUAAUUGACAUUUCUCUCUCCUACUUGUUUGCUUAUCCUUCCACCAUUUUUAUUUUAUUUUUUUCAUUUAUCUCUUACUUUGUGUUUUGUUUCAGCUUCUCAUAAACUCUUUCACUCCCAAUCUAUAAACAAAUAUUUUCAUGCAUUUGUCAUAGAAUUCCAGUUAAAUCAUAUAUUUUUGGUCCAACAGUACUUAUCGGAAAAAAAAUUAUUUCAACAAAAAAUCAUUGAUUUUUAUUUAAGCCCACAUUAAUUGAUCCACAUUUCCACACACAAGUAAAAUUAUACAACCUCGCAUACAAAAUGCAGCUUUUAAAGUUCAGAAGUUUCACUAUGCUCUGAUUUUACAAUCAUAAAGAUUGCAAAUAAUAUUUUUUUUUUAAUCAAAAAGGCAUAAAUGACAAAGCUUUUAUUAUAAUGAUCGGCCGAUGAAUCGCAUGUGCCAGAAGAGCCGAAGACAAACCCAGUAAAGCAGAAAAAACAAAAAAGUAUUAACUCAUAGGACAAGUUUAAUUAAUAAAAAUUAAUUAUAUUGAGUAAGAAAUAAGGAUCACUUAAAUUUUAUUUCUUCUUGUGUUUGGGGUAAAAGGAUUAUAUAUAGCUUUACUGAUGUAAUCAUCAUCAGGUAUGUGUAAUUUAUGAAGCUGCGUCCAUAACCGGAUCCACCAAGAAGUCACAUUUAAAUCGAACAGCUGUUUUUGUAUUCAAUCGAGAGAUUAUACAUUAGGCUUAGGGUUGCAGCACCUCAAUGGCGAGCUGAAAAUAAUAAAUUGUUGUUGACUUAGAAAUAUAAAAUGAAUUAGAAUGAUCGAGAUAAUCGGAUAUAACAGAUCAUAUUAUAAUAAAUACGAUCUGAUCCGAUGUAAUGGAGUUCGAUAAUAUCAAUACCGAUUGUGCGUAUAAGCCAAUAGCAGUUCUUGAUUUCUUGUAUUGUAUGAUUGUGUUGUAUCCAUUCGAUUCAAGCAUAAAAUAUAAAAAAUGAGACGGGUAUGAGUUGAGCAGUGCUGCAAAAGAAAAGAUGAUCGCCCACUCAGCCGCUUGGCAGUUUGCAUGCAGUCCAUGAGCAGCCAUUUUUCAUUCAGCUGCUCACCGUCCUUGGUCCUUAUUCCUAAUAUUUAUUACCCUAUCAACUAACUCUCUUGUAAUUUUUUUUUUUUUUUACAACAUCAAUGAUAUAAGUAACAUGUACUGUUGAAUCUAAUCAGCUGUACAAAUUAUUUCUAUUAAUAAUUUUUUUAAAAUAAUAGAACUAGUUAACAAUCGGUUCAAAAUGUGAUUUGAAAUUUAAAAAAAAAAGUAAAAAGAGAUAUGAUAAAAAUAAUAAUAUCUCGGGUUCUUUUAUUUAAAAUUAAACAAGUAUUACUUAUUUUAUAGCAUUUUGAUGUCGAAACAUAUGAACCGCUUUGAUUAUUUUAAUUGAUUUGAUAGUUAAUCCUUGUGACUUUGAGUCCUAUUAUCAAAUUGGGUUACUUUAAAAAAAAAAUGAAAGAGAAAGUGGUUGUGCAAGGGUUUAUCAAUGAUUAUUUUUUAGGUACUUAAACUUAUAUCUAAGGCUGAACCUUAUCUAAACUACUUGCUUUUGGUCGCCCGAGCACAGCCUGCCAACAAUUAUGGCGGUUGAAUUUGAAUGGAAGACUAGUAUUCUUUCCAAGCAGUGGACCUAAGAAAGGGCGAAGCAAGUGACUUUUACAAUUACUUUGCUUCUUCUGUUCAUUAAAAUACACUUUGCAUUUGACGUGUGGUUAUUUCAAGAUGAUUUGGUACCAAAACUUAUUUUUAAGUUAUGCCAAUUAAAUUCAAAAUAGCAAUAUUUAAUUGUUUUCAUUAUACCCCGGAAAUUCUUCUUUUGUUAAAUUAAAAUUAUGCAUAAUUUGAUUCUAUAAGAAUGUAGCCCGUAUAAUGGUCGACUUUUACCUAUCUAAUUCUUUGAAAUAUUUUAUAUUUGUAUGAAUAAUAUGAUCUUCCAGGGACUUUUAGUCGCUCAUGUGCUUUAUUUUGUUAUCCCUCGUAUAUUCUUUGGUUUCAUGAUUGUUGAUUUCAUGUAGAAGAUUUAUUUAUAUUUGUACAGGAAAGAUAGUUUUACUUUUCAAAUUAUCACAGGAGACUCUCUGCUUGUUAUUGACUUAUUAUUUCAUCAAUUGUGCUAGAUGAAGGAAAUGGAGUUCAAGAAGUUGUUCGAUACACAAAAUAUUGCUGCCUUGCUGCCUUUCGUAUUAAGAGGAAUCCGAUUCAGUGUGUUCUCCUUCCUCACUGCUCGUUGCCAGCUCUUGAAGUGCACCCAACAUUUACCGUACGAAAAGCGGUCUGCUGUACCGUACAUCCGCCUUGGCCGUACAGCAGAAUAAAAAUGAAAAUGAAAAUGGUGUUUUGCAAUUGCUGUAUUUCGAAUUUCAAUAUGUGUCUAGUAUCAUUUUCUGUAUCCUGUAUUUUAAAACUAAAAACUAAAAACAGUAAUAUGCGUUUGGUAGACACAGUUGAAAAUUAGGGGUGGGCAAUAGUCGGUUCGGCCGAGCCGAGCCGAACCGAACCAAAACCAAUCGGUUCUUUAGAAGAUGAACCGAAUAGGGACCGAAUUUAGGAACCGAACCGAACCGAACCGAAAUAUUUCGGUUCGGUUCGGUUCGGUUCCUAAAUUCGGUCCCUAUUCGGUUCAUCUUCUAAAGAACCGAUUGGUUUUGGUUCGGUUCGGCUCGGCUCGGCCGAACCGACUAUUGCCCACCCCUAAUUUUCAACUGUGUCUACCAAACGCAACUACGCACAGGAUCCUUCAACAACGUUCUUCCAAAGAUUGGUGUAGGUAACAAGUUCUGUGCUGCCACCCAACUUCGAAAAACUUCCCACACACACAUUCCCCCACACACACCCACACCCACACCUAGUAGCCCUGCUGUACGGCCAAGGCGGAUGUACGGUACAGCAGAUGACACACACACACACACACACAUAUAUAUAAAUCGGUCUCAAGUUAGUCUUGACUGUAAAAUCCAUUUUGUGGCGAAGUGCAAAGUAUGACAAGAGAUGACAAGGCAAAAGCAGCCAGCCAAUAUAACAAGAUAAUAAAUAAUAGUAUCACCACCAAUCUAGCGAGUUCACUUCGUUUAUCCUUAAUGAAGUCAAGCAUGACAAUGCCAAAAGAUAGUCAAUCAUAAUUAAAAUUCAAAACAAGUGAAAAAAAAUCAUCAUAAAACCUUGAAAAUCAUUGUAGACAAGGUUCCAUUAUCCAUAGCAACAAAAGUCAUGGCAACUAAUUAUAACCACUGAUCUCCAAAGGGCACCAUACACUAUCAUAAUUGAAGUAUUCUGCUGCUUGACUUACAACAUCAAGAACAUCAGGUCAAAAAGGGCCAGAAUCCUUUCAGCUUGUUAGUCUGCUACUGUCAUGAUGCAAACCACUCACUGGCAGGCAUCUGUUUUUAGAAAAAAAAAGACUUCGACCUGUAAUCAUCAAAUCGUAAUUUAGCAAUCAGCAAUUCAAAUCCGCUACAGGGUUGAGCAACCUUUUGCAAAUCAAAAAGUUUGCACUAAUUCACAUAAUACAACUAAUACUAAAAUGAAUCUAAAACUCAGAUCAGGAAGUGGUCAAAGCCAUUAAAGGAAUGGUCAGAGUGUAACAAGCUACCAGGUGUUAACAAUGGAGGGAAGUGGUACAGUGUGCUUGAAUAUGCAAAAACAAUCAGAGUCUACCAACUGCAAUGAACUGGAUGCAGUAGGAAAUGCAUUAGUUGCCACCGUUAAGAAGAUAACCGUUGCCCACAGACAACAACAGUGUUGGAUACAUCCUAAGAAGAAACAGGGUACCUUCACUUUAUCUCUUUUAAGAAGAUUAAACAGUUCAAUAUGGAGGUAUAACAGAAACAGUGGACUACACUGAAGAAGAUAUUCGAUUGAAAAUUAAGGAGUUGAUUAAAUCUUUAAGAUACUGAGACAGCAUAGUUUUUUAUGAAUGGAAACAAAAUAGUAGCCAUGUUGCAAGUUACAAAUUCAGCCUGGAAGCAGAAUUUUUUUUUGCGACAAGGAUGGCAUGAAGAUGACCGGCGUCGCACGAGCUUUCAAUCGGUACCAACCUUGGUCGGAGGAGUGGCCGGAAACGGAGACAAAAUCCGAGUUGGGUUCGUGGGUAUUGUGAUAAAGAGAGGGGUAUUGUGAUGUAUGUGCAAUAUAGAAUAAAAAUGUGUAAAUAGUAAAUAGUUUAAGGUGCUAAGUAAAAUGUUCAUAUGGAUGCAGUAGAAAUUAACUUAAUAUUUAUAAAGUAAAGAUUAAAUAAAAUUGAGUAAAAUGGGUUCUAUAAAAAUUUACAAUUGUGCUGACAAAAAGACAAAAAUAGUGGUACGGUACCACUGUGGUACCGUAGCUUGAUCCUCCUUAAAGUUUGAAUUAAUGAUAGAAUUACACAAAUAUUUUACUUUAGUGGGCUUAUUGAUGACAUGCGUAUCAUUUUUGUCAAUUUAUAGUUGUAAAUUUAUAUUUUUAAAAUGUAUUUUAAUCAUCAUUCCUACUUACCUCACAAAGUUGCUUUGUUUUCCCAAAAAAAGAAAAAGAAAAAAACCGUUUGAAAUAUUUUUUACGUGAUGCAUAAUUAUUGUGAGAAAAUAUAUACGAUGUUUGGGUGUUGUUUUACCAAUUUUCUAUCUAAAUAUGCAUAUGAAUAAACAUGUGAUUGACUUGUAAAAAUAAUGUGGUACUUUAAAUGUACAAAAUCGAUUAUGGAAUGCAAUUUAAUAUGCUCUAUAUUACUUUGAAGUUGGACACCGCGGUUAACUAACUACAAUAUGCACUAAAAAGGUGCUAUUGAAAUGAAUAUGUGAUUUUAAUCAUUUUAAAAUCUGAAAUUUGUGAUCUAAAACAUUUCGGGCAGAUGUUUAAUCGCAGCAGUUAUCUUUCACAAAUUAAAAAUUUUUACAUCAAAUUUUUUAGAGUAAUGAUACAGCCACAAACUCUUGUACAAACUUAUUUUGUACAAACUGACGUGGCAUGAUAAGAUUGGUUGAAUGAAAAUAUAAAUUAAUAAAAACAAAUCAUGUGGGCCAAGUGAUAUUUAAUUCAACCAAUCUUAUCAUGCCACAUCAGUUUGUACAAAAUAAAUUUGUACAAGAGUUUGUGGCUGUAUCAUUACUCAAUUUUUUAUUUUAUUUUAAGUGGUCGUCAAUUUAUCUUCCAUUCCUAGUUUUUUUUUUAAAUACCGAUAAUACACCAGAUUAUUGAAUUACAUUAGAUAUUUACAAUUGUUAUUACAAUAGAUAAUUAUAUUGAUAUUUAUAAUCAGACAUAUAAUUGGAGGUAUUAAAGUACCUUGUCCAGAUAAAUAACCCUCACAAACGAAGAAUAUUUCUACUCCAUUCUUAUUUCAUAAGGAAAAGAACUUACAAAUAAAUCUACACAAUUAUACAUAAUUCUUAAUUCUCAUUACCCUCAUUAUCUGUGAGGGUAAUGAGGGUAAAAGUUCACCGGUCCAGUGCUAUGCUAGUUAAGUGAUUGUGAUCUAACCAUUCGGGAAAUCUCAAUAGACCUUGUAUUUCGGUCGUUUUACAUUUUCCAUGACCAAUGGGCCAGCGCCACAAAAUAAAUUAAGAUUUAAAAUAACUAACAUAAAUGAUUAUUUAAUUUAAUAAUACUAGGGGAAAAAAAAGAGAGUAAACAAAUUCCAAGGACUUGACUUUUCUUUUUGAACAGUAUGCCAGGAAAAAAGUAACAAUUGCUAUGUCUCUCAUGUUUGCCACAAGGCAGACCACUCAAUUAGUUUCAUUACUUCCCUUUUUCUUGGUUUUGAUUAAAUAUAUAUAUAAUUACCAUUUAAUUUUAGAUCCGCCGUAAAAUUUUAUAACAUGGGUACAUUUAUGAUGACAAAAACAUUAAAAAAGAGGAAAAAAAACAUGAUCCAUAGCAUAUGCAUUUAUAAAUAUAAUUCAUAUUCAAACAAUGAGCCUCAUAAUUUAUUUGUUGCUAAUUAAACUAGCGGGAUACUAUAAUUUAUUAAUGCCAACGAAGCGACACAGUACAAAUAGACUUGCACUUGUGAGCUCCGUAGCUGAUGAUUGUCUUGGGUGCUUUGAUCCUGAAGUAGCCGUUCUUGUCCGUUUUGCCAACCACAUUGAGUGGAUACUUGGUGUUGUUGCACUGCAAUUUCAGAGUCGCCCCUGCAAUUGAACCCAUGGACAAUAUUAAAAGAAUAAAAAAAAAUUUAAAUACUAGGGACUUCAAAAAGAGAGCUUGAAAAAGGAAAAAGUAGCUAGCUAUGCUGCCAUAACCAUGCCUCCUACUGAAUGUGACAUAAACCUAGAACAAAGAGAAAGAAAGAGAUCAAGAGCACCUCUCUCUCUCUCCAUUCAAAAUCUGGAAAUGUAUACAUCACGCAUCCAUGAAAACAAAUGCACAUUCGCAUCCAUACGUAUGUUAUGUAUGCAUGAUAUCUAACUAAACAUACAUGUGAAAUUAAUUGAAGUAAUAAUGAUAGAAAAAAAUCAAGUAUGUAAGAGUUUGGAGCAGGGAAAAUUAAGUUGAAAGAUUUCGAAACUGACCUAGAACAGCGGUAGCUCCUAGGAGGGUAUCAGCUCCUGCGUACUUGCAAGACUUGCAAUAAACGACGCCUUGAACUUCAACAAGGCUCCUAGGGAAACGAUGGGUGGGUGUGGGUGGGUGAGCAGGAGCAACGUGUGGUGGAGGUGGGUGAGCAGGAGCAACGUGCGGUGGAGGUGGGUGAGCAGGAGCAACGUGUGAAGGUGGGUGAGCAGGUGCAUGAGCGGGAGUGUGAGCCGGUGCAUGAGCCGGCGGGUGGGGGUGGUGGUGAUGAUGGUGGUGGCUUGGGGCGUGAGCCGGUGGGGCAGUAGGAGGGUGGCUGUGGUGGUGGUGGUGGUGGUGAUGGUGGGGGCUUGGUGCCGUUGCCGGGGUUACCGAGUGGUAG
RNAcentral lists this long non-coding RNA (11684 nucleotides) under Citrus sinensis (sweet orange). Its description in RNAcentral is "long non-coding RNA (CSIN_LNC000545)". Lineage: Eukaryota; Viridiplantae; Streptophyta; Magnoliopsida; Sapindales; Rutaceae. The record is from RNAcentral.